This 131-nucleotide small nucleolar RNA is filed under the name Hucho hucho (huchen). The record is from RNAcentral. Lineage: Eukaryota; Metazoa; Chordata; Actinopteri; Salmoniformes; Salmonidae.
AUGUCUUUGAACCUGUGGUCCUCUAUAUGGCUCUAUUGGCCAAGCUGCAGUUACAACAGCAAAUAAAAUGCUUGUUAUAACUGGGGUUACUUGGCAUUGCAUCAAGGUUUCUCUUUAAAAGCAACUCAGCU